This 253-nucleotide ribosomal RNA is filed under the name uncultured bacterium. Its description in RNAcentral is "partial 16S ribosomal RNA". It matches the Rfam family "Bacterial small subunit ribosomal RNA", at positions 524 to 776 of the family's 1533-position model. The record is from RNAcentral.
UACGGAGGGUGCGAGCGUUGUCCGGAAUCACUGGGCGUAAAGGGCGCGUAGGCGGCUCGGUAAGUAGGGGGUGAAAUCCUGCGGCUUAACCGCAGGGCUGCCUUCUAAACUGUCGAGCUCGAGCACGGUAGAGGCAGAUGGAAUUCCCGGUGUAGCGGUGGAAUGCGUAGAGAUCGGGAAGAACAUCAGUGGCGAAGGCGGUCUGCUGGGCCGACACUGACGCUGAGGCGCGAAAGCCAGGGGAGCGAACGGG